UGGGGAAUAUUGCACAAUGGGGGAAACCCUGAUGCAGCGACGCCGCGUGAACGAAGAAGGUAUUCGUAUCGUAAAGUUCUGUCCUAUGGGAAGAAAAUGACAGUACCAUAGAAGAAAGCUCCGGCUAAAUACGUGCCAGCAGCCGCGGUAAUACGUAUGGAGCGAGCGUUGUCCGGAAUUAUUGGGCGUAAAGGGUACGCAGGCGGUUUAAUAAGUCGAAUGUUAAAGAUCGGGGCUCAACCCCGUAAAGCAUAGGAAACUGAUAAACUUGAGUAGUGGAGAGGAAAGUGGAAUUCCUAGUGUAGUGGUGAAAUACGUAGAUAUUAGGAGGAAUACCAGUAGCGAAGGCGACGUUCUGGACACAAACUGACGCUGAGGUACGAAAGCGUGGGGAGCAAACAGG
RNAcentral lists this ribosomal RNA (403 nucleotides) under bacterium. Its description in RNAcentral is "partial 16S ribosomal RNA". It matches the Rfam family "Bacterial small subunit ribosomal RNA", at positions 355 to 776 of the family's 1533-position model. The record is from RNAcentral.